Molecule: ribosomal RNA, 446 nt
Filed under: uncultured bacterium
Lineage: Bacteria
Description: bacterial SSU rRNA
Rfam family: Bacterial small subunit ribosomal RNA
Source: RNAcentral
UCCCAGACUCCUACGGGAGGCAGCAGUGGGGAAUAUUGCACAAUGGGGGAAACCCUGAUGCAGCGACGCCGCGUGAGUGAAGAAGUAUUUCGGUAUGUAAAGCUCUAUCAGCAGGGGAGAAAAUGACGGUACCUGACCAAGAAGCCCCGGCUAACUACGUGCCAGCAGCCGCGGUAAUACGUAGGGGGCAAGCGUUAUCCGGAUUUACUGGGUGUAAAGGGAGCGUAGACGGUAAUGCAAGUCUGGAGUGAAAUGCAGGGGCUCAACCCCUGAACUGCUUUGGAAACUGUAUGACUGGAGUGCAGGAGAGGUAAGUGGAAUUCCUAGUGUAGCGGUGAAAUGCGUAGAUAUUAGGAGGAACACCAGUGGCGAAGGCGGCUUACUGGACUGUAACUGACGUUGAGGCUCGAAAGCGUGGGGAGCAAACAGGAUUAGAUACCCUUGUA